CAGUCGCCGCGGUAAUACGAAGGGGGCUAGCGUUGCUCGGAAUUACUGGGCGUAAAGGGAGCGUAGGCGGACAUUUAAGUCAGGGGUGAAAUCCCGGGGCUCAACCUCGGAAUUGCCCUUGAUACUGGGUGUCUUGAGUAUGAGAGAGGUAUGUGGAACUCCGAGGGUAGAGGUGAAAUUCGUAGAUAUUCGGAAGAACACCAGUGGCGAAGGCGACAUACUGGCUCAUUACUGACGCUGAGGCUCGAAAGCGUGGGGAGCAAACAGGAUUAGAUACCCCUGUAGUCCCUGUCUCUUAUAC
RNAcentral lists this ribosomal RNA (301 nucleotides) under uncultured bacterium. Its description in RNAcentral is "partial 16S ribosomal RNA". It matches the Rfam family "Bacterial small subunit ribosomal RNA", at positions 509 to 807 of the family's 1533-position model. The record is from RNAcentral.